UUUAAAUUGAGAGUUUGAUCCUGGCUCAGGACGAACGCUGGCGGCGUGCCUAACACAUGCAAGUCGAGCGAUGAAACUUCCUUCGGGAAGUGGAUUAGCGGCGGACGGGUGAGUAACACGUGGGUAACCUGCCUCAAAGAGGGGGAUAGCCUCCCGAAAGGGAGAUUAAUACCGCAUAACAUUAUUUUAUGGCAUCAUAAAAUAAUCAAAGGAGCAAUCCGCUUUGAGAUGGACCCGCGGCGCAUUAGCUAGUUGGUGAGGUAACGGCUCACCAAGGCAACGAUGCGUAGCCGACCUGAGAGGGUGAUCGGCCACAUUGGAACUGAGACACGGUCCAGACUCCUACGGGAGGCAGCAGUGGGGAAUAUUGCGCAAUGGGGGAAACCCUGACGCAGCAACGCCGCGUGAGUGAUGAAGGUUUUCGGAUCGUAAAACUCUGUCUUUAGGGACGAUAAU
RNAcentral lists this ribosomal RNA (456 nucleotides) under Clostridium botulinum C/D str. BKT2873. Its description in RNAcentral is "bacterial SSU rRNA". It matches the Rfam family "Bacterial small subunit ribosomal RNA", at positions 1 to 452 of the family's 1533-position model. The record is from RNAcentral. Lineage: Bacteria; Bacillati; Bacillota; Clostridia; Eubacteriales; Clostridiaceae.